This 267-nucleotide ribosomal RNA is filed under the name Triticum aestivum (bread wheat). Its description in RNAcentral is "partial small subunit ribosomal RNA". Lineage: Eukaryota; Viridiplantae; Streptophyta; Magnoliopsida; Poales; Poaceae. The record is from RNAcentral.
AUGUGCCCGCUGAGGGUGAUACUCAUCUUCCUCUCCGCCACCGUCGCCGGAUUCUUCCUCCUCCGCGGCCUCAACGCCGACCCCGACUGUUUCCAAGACGGCGACGACGGCUCGGAAUCUCCCAGGGCCGCCGUUCCCCUCCAUUCCAAGGUUGGUUCAGCUGUGAAAACCGGGUUCUGGACAACGGUGGACAUGGCGAGCGGGCGGUACCUUUGGCGGACCCUUGUUGCGCCACCGGCCAAUUCUGAAUCCGACAAGGCCCGGUGA